Lasiosphaeria hispida is the source of this 123-nucleotide non-coding RNA. The record is from the annotation of a GenBank genome assembly. NCBI's taxonomy places the organism in Eukaryota, Fungi, Ascomycota, Sordariomycetes, Sordariales, Lasiosphaeriaceae.
GCCCUUAUGGUGCAAUGGCAGCAUGCUUUGCUCUUGUGAAUCAGGCAACUUGUGCAUAGUCCAUGUAGCAAGUUAUCUGGUUUAGUGUUAAAGAGGUCAGGGGUUUAAUUCCUCCUAGGGGCA